GAUGAAGAACGUAGCGAAAUGCGAUACGUAAUGUGAAUUGCAAAUUCAGUGAAUCAUCGAGUCUUUGAACGCACAUUGCGCCCCCUGGUAUUCCGGGGGGCAUGCCUGUCCGAGCGUCAUUGCUGCCCUCAAGCACGGCUUGUGUGUUGGGCCCCGUCCUCCGAUCCCGGGGGACGGGCCCGAAAGGCAGCGGCGGCACCGCGUCCGGUCCUCGAGCGUAUGGGGCUUUGUCACCCGCUCUGUAGGCCCGGCCGGCGCUUGCCGAUCAACCCAAAUUUUUAUCCAGGUUGACCUCGGAUCAGGUAGGGAUACCCGCUGAACUAAAGCAUAUCAAUAAGCGGAGGA
RNAcentral lists this unclassified non-coding RNA (345 nucleotides) under soil metagenome. Its description in RNAcentral is "partial contains 5.8S ribosomal RNA, internal transcribed spacer 2, and large subunit ribosomal RNA". The stretch from base 1 to 119 matches the Rfam family "5.8S ribosomal RNA", at positions 35 to 154 of the family's 154-position model. The record is from RNAcentral.